CAAAAACAUAGUUAUCAGAAAAUAUUGAUAAUUUAUUCUGCUCAAUGAAUAAUUAAAUAGCCGCAGUACCUUGACUGUGCAAAGGUAGCAUAAUCAUUUGGCUUAUAAUUGAAGUCUUGUAUGAAGGAAAUGAUGGGGGAUGACUAUAUCAUAGGUAUAAUAUUAAAUUAAUCAAAAAGUGCAAAUGCUUUUUUUCAAUUAAUAGACGAGAAGACCCUUGAAAUUUUAAGAAUAUGAAAAUAAUAGUUUUUGUUGGGGCAACAAUGUAACAGGUAACUUACAUUUAUUACAAGAAAUAAUAAUAGGUUGAUAAAAUUACUCUAGGGAUAACAGCGUAAUAUUUAAAUGUUUGCGACCUCGAUGUUGGAUUAGGGAACAAUAACCUAGAAGGCUACUUGGCAUGCUCUGUUCGAGC
RNAcentral lists this ribosomal RNA (415 nucleotides) under Basedowena colmani. Its description in RNAcentral is "partial 16S ribosomal RNA". It matches the Rfam family "Archaeal large subunit ribosomal RNA", at positions 1900 to 2655 of the family's 2987-position model. The record is from RNAcentral. Lineage: Eukaryota; Metazoa; Mollusca; Gastropoda; Stylommatophora; Camaenidae.